Long non-coding RNA from Epinephelus fuscoguttatus (brown-marbled grouper), 4120 nucleotides. RefSeq lists it as uncharacterized. NCBI's taxonomy places the organism in Eukaryota, Metazoa, Chordata, Actinopteri, Perciformes, Serranidae. The transcript is spliced from 2 exons. The record is from RefSeq and is a predicted model, not a curated record.
CUAAGUACUCAUUUGUUAUUAAAAUUUAAGUGAUUAAUCAUUUGAUUCCCUUAGGUGGAUUUAUUAGUAAUCGUGUAGGAGCAGUGUGUUAUGUGGACUUUUAUUUGUUUUAGUUAUUGACUGGGAGGGUGGUUGGCGUUAUUGUAAGCAACAAGAUAUUACAUAAUGUAGCCUUUAUAAUGACUGUGAUAUAAGCUUAAAAGUAAAGGCAGGAAAAAUACCCCCAAAAAGGCCUUGGGCCCAAAGGGUUAAAUUGUAAUAGUAUUAAAUUGAAAACUCAACAGCACAUAGGCUACAUAGGUGCUGGACAAGCUCUCAUUAUUUAGGCAUCAAAUAAAUUAUUUUUAAUAUUAUAUUAGGCUCCUAUAGGCCUAUAUGCGCGGCAGAUUUUUUUAAUGACAGUAAUGAAAUUGAUACCAUUGCUAUUUUUAGAUACCACAGGAUACCUGAUUACUGUAUUAUUGCCCGACCCUAGUGAGAGGUGCCAAGCGGAUGUAGGGAUACUCAUGAGCCCCAAGUUGAGUGCUGCUGUGUUGAGGUUCUCCCUAGAGAAUGAGAGGGUCACUUGAUGCAGCUGCGGGUCGCUAAGAGAAGGUCUUUGAUUGUUGUUUGUGCGUAUGCACCAAACAGCAGUACAGAGUACCUGGCCCUCUUGGAGUCUCUGGGGGCUGUCCUGGAUGGGGUGUCGGCUGGGGACUCCAUAGUUCUUCUGAGGGACUUAAACGUUCACAUGGGCAAUGAUGCCUCCCGGGUAAAGUCUACUCCAGGGUGCUGGAAAGGACGCUCUGACUAAUUGUCCAACCUCGGAUACAGGGGGAGCAAUGCGGAUUCCAUCCUGGCCCUCGAACAGUGGACCAGCUCUUUACCCUUGCGAGGCUUCUGGAGGGGUUGUGGGAGUUUGCCCAUCCAGUCUACCUGUGCUUUGUGGACUUGGAGAAGGCUUACAGCCACGUUCCUCGGGGGGUCUUGUGGUGGGACUACGGAGUACCGGGCUUGCUGCUAUGAGCCAUCUGGUUCCUGUAUGACCAAAGGAAAACCAAAAGACACUUAAACUGCUGAGUGACUAAACUGCUAUCCCUACAGACACCUUGACUUCAUCUCCCUCCAGGGAUGCUGGAAGGUUUUUUUAGUGGGGGUCGUGCUGUCUACACCCCACUUCCCUUGUCCCUGUCUCCCUCCCAUAUUUGUCUGUUUAUAUUUGUUCAGUAUGUUUUAACUUCGUUCUUGAUGGUUUAUGUUCUGAAAAAAUGUAAUUAAAAUGACAAACUGCAAUAAGUUGUCACGCCCCAAAUGUCCUGUUCCCAAAUCGGAGGGGAAAAUAUCCGAAUACAUACACAAUUACACGUGUAGAGAUGUCUCUGGUGCCCAGUGUUAGGACUCUGCUAUAAUUUUUGUUGCAGCAGUACGUUUCUCAGUAUGUUUUUCUAAUAGUUUUAGAUCCUAAUGGGACCAGUUUUCUAAUGGUUAUAGCUCCUAAUGGAACCAGUAGCUUUCUAGUGGUAUUACAUUCUAAUGGAACCAGUAGGUUUCUAAUUGUAUUACAUUCUAAUGGGACCAGUAGGUUUCUAAUGGUAUUACAUUCUAAUAGGGCCAGUAGGUUUCUAAUGGUUUUAUAUCCUAAUGUAGUACCAUUAGGAACCUAAUGGUACCAUUAGGUUCGUAAUGGUUUCUUCUAAUGGUUCCUAAUGGGGUUCCAAUUCCCAUUAGACCAUUAGGAACUAUCAGAAACCUAAUGGUUCCUAAUGGUUUUUUUUGUAAUGGUAUUCUACUGGAUUUUUCAGCAGGGGUCCCUGAUUGGCUGACUGACCAGUUUGGCAAUACAUAACGUAUUUCCUGCCGUAAAGGAGAUUUUUUCCGCGAAAAUUCGUCCCCGGUGGCAGAAGCUUAUUGCAAAGAUUGCAAAGCCAUUAAGUAACCUAUGUAAACGCUGAUAGUCUGAUUUUACUGUGUAUACUACCCUGUGCAACCCACAUUAUUUACAUAAUGGUAUAUAUAGGCAAAAAUGCUGUCUGUUGCUUCUUUAAGCUCUUGGUCAGUUACCGUAGUAACAGACUCUAUGAACCUAACCUGGUCGGGACCAGGUUUUUCUCAAUGAACCUCGAGUUUCUCUCUGUCUCCGCCCUCUUUCAGAGCCACACACUCCAUUUGAUUUCCUCAUUCAUUCAAUCAGCAGGCGAGUUUUGGCGUAGCCUAGGUCUACCGUCUGUCAUUUAAAAAAAUCAUUAAAAAAAAUCAGAGUCAGUAUACUAGAAGUCCAUUAGGCACAGUAGGUGGCAACUUUUGUCACUAACAUGGCAUGUCCUUUUGAUAAUGAUCCCGUGGAUGAAGGUACAAUAUUACUGUGCAGAAAAUUAAAUAGUUGUCGGGAGAUGGUUAUCAGACCAUAGAUGUUCUAGCAUUUCCAGACAAUUAUCUUUUUGAGCUGUACCGUUUCAUGUCACAGUCCAUCAUCUACAUACACAACCUAAUACGUCCUUACAUUUGCAACAUUACCAAUCGUAGUCAUGCUCUCACAUCCCAGGAGAUAUUGUGUGUUGCGCUGCGUUUCCUUACAAAUGGAAGUUUUUUUGUACAAGGUCGGAGAUGCUGAGCGCUUGAGUAAGGCAACUGUAUGCAGGGCGGUCAGUCCCUCAGCCACUGGCCUUCCUAAAUUCUGGCUUAGGGCCAGCUCCUCUGCCUUCAUUAGAGGUAGCGGUGCUGGGCUACCACCCGUUUUACGGGCAUCUGCCUUCUUUCUGUUGGCUGAGUAGAAGUCUGUGUUAGUUUAAAUAGGCUUAAUUAUUUAACAGAACAUGAUAUAGAUGAGAAGAUAUUUAUGUGUGUAAAAACAGCAUUAUGUUGGGGAUAAAACAACUGCACAGUCAAACAGCCACUUAAUAUUUACUUUACAAUGUAAAACGUGAUCAAAAUGAGGUACCCCCAUGAGAUUAUGCCGAGGUCUUACCUGUUUGAACAAUGUUUUUACAUUUCAUCCUAAACUGCUGCCAAAUGCGCUUCUCCCCCACGGGAUUGCACCUAAAUGAAAUAAAUUAAUAGGCUACCAUUCUAGCAGUUUUCCCCUGUAAUGUUGUUGUGAUUGAGCAGCAAUGUUCUCCCACGCCGUCUCCCUCUCUUUUGCAGCUGCAGCGGUGUUGCACUUCUUUUUGAAAACGUGUGCAAACUCGCCAUAUGAGCGCAUUAAGAUUUCUAAUUCUAGUGGGGUGAAAAAUGUAGCCCUCCUCUUCCCCGUUGCCAUGGUGACUUGUGGAAUCGGGCUCAUUGAUGCUGGCUUUUUAUAGUUGUGGUGCACGUGCUUAACUCGUGAAACUAGGUGAAACUACUCCGAGUUGAUUAAACUGAUUCAAAUCAGCUGUUCUGGAACCGGAAACUCAGAGUUUAGGAUUAGACUCAGAGUUUGUUGGACCUGCUUUGUGAAACGGACCCCAGGGCAGAGAGAUGGAAGCAAAAUAUAUUAAACCCGGUGUUAAUACAGCAGAACUGGAGAGAGGGGUGAAAAAUAAAUAGAGGUGGGCAUGGCUCAAGUAGGGCACAAAAUUAUAGAUGGAGAACGAUUGACAAACAUUGCCGCUGCCGAUUUAUCCACUUGCAGCAAACUGUGCAUUACAUAAUCUGAGUUUUGCCCACAUUCAACUACACUCUUGUCGUGAGAAGUGCCUCUUACAAUUUCCCAAUCAGUACUGUGCAUAUGCAACUCUCAUCAGAGAUGAGAGGAAAGGGAGAUGGCUCACUCCUGAGCUACUUCCAUCAUCAGCUCUGGAAAGAACAGUGUGUUUAAUUCUUUAUCACCACUUGCUUGAACUGGCAAGUAAGUUACUGGAUUUACUAGCCUUAAUAGACAUUUUACUUACCCUAGGCAAUCUGGCAGUCCUUACUGUUGAGCUCUGGGCAUAAACCUGACCAUUAUGUGCAUGCUUUACACCUUAUUUUUAACCAGUGACAAAUACUGAAGGAUCUAAUUCAAAAGUAAUAAAUCCAUCAGCUUGAAGUAUUGAUAUGAUAUGCAUUUAGGUUAACUGAGAGCAUGUACUGAAAUUGUUUUGUGAUCAGCUACAUCAACAUUCUGUUGGUCUCAUUCAGUUAAAAAAAAAAAAAAAAAAAAAAAAGGUCCACUUGUGGUCAC